This 4287-nucleotide long non-coding RNA is filed under the name Panax ginseng (ginseng). RNAcentral's name for it is "long non-coding RNA (PGIN_LNC004848)". The record is from RNAcentral. Lineage: Eukaryota; Viridiplantae; Streptophyta; Magnoliopsida; Apiales; Araliaceae.
CAGAACAGAAAACUAGGGUUAACCCAUACGCUUCCCACAACAAAACACCAAAUGGCCCACUUCCUCCGUAGCCCAAAACGGAGACGCCGUGGACUAAUCACACCGCCACGGAAAGUGUCAUGCCUCUCGUGCCAAGACGACAUGCCUGUGGUACCCCCACAGGUGGUUAUAGCUCAGGUAUACCCUACGGUAUAUUCUAACAAAAAUAUCAUGUCACAACACAUGCGACAUAAUACCAACAAAAGGGUUCUAUAUGUACAUGUUGAACCAAAUCAAAUUAUAGUCACAAGGUUUCAAAAAGAAGGUAGCAACAUGUACCGCUCUACAAUUAUCAAAAUAAAUAUUAGACAUGAUAACCUCAUUCAAAGAGUACAAGUAUGAGUCCAAUGUGUCAACUCCAAAAUGAAAUAAAUAUAUCAAUUUCACAAAAAACAAUUAUGUGAAAUAAUAACAGAAAUUCAAAACGAGGAACAAAAUGAACAAAUCAAAUUUAACAAAGGUAUUGCUGAAAGAGUACGAAAUCAGUACCUGAUACUUCCAAACAAUUUAUAGCACACUCCACAAAAUCUUACCCUCAAAUUCCAACGAUAUCAAAUACGAAACAUUAUUCAUCACCUAAACAUAUUCACCUCAAAUUAAAUAUAAUCCAAUUCAAUAAUUCCAAAAUAAUUCAUAAUCUAUUUAAUAUGCCUUUAAUCAUCGCCUUAUAUCAAUUAUUAAUACUCCAAAAUUUAUAUUCCAAAUAUAACUCUUUAAGUUCCUUCCGUCCGAACUAAUUACACAAAUUAAUAAUACUAAAUGUAAGUACAUUUAUAAAAAUAUGAACACUUCUAUUUGGUACGACUAUAAAAUAUAAUUACUUAUAAUAUUAAGAUUUAAUUCAUUCCAUAUAAUCUUACAUAUUUAUUUGUAUAACAUCUCUUGCAAAUUAUGCAAGUUUUCGUAAACUUUAAUUACUACUGCUAUAUAUAUAUUUUUAUUUAAAAAAAUCAUCAAUUUAUUAUUUUAGGAUCUCCAAAAUCAAUCACAGACUACUCCCUCCGUUCAAUCUGAUUGGAAUAAAGUGAUAAUAAUAAUAAGUACAUCCGUAUAAGUAUUACAUUAAUAAAUAAACUCUCCCAUCUUUAAAGAUCGCUCUUAGUUCUUGAAUUACAAAAGUACUUGCUCAUGAUUAAAAAAAACAACAUACUAAAUUUAAUAAUUUAAUAUGGAACCACGUGAUUUAUCCCCACUUUAUAUAAUGUAUAAUAUACUUACUUAUUACUGAUGAAAUUUCCCCACUAGUGAUCAAAAUCUCUAGUCUUUCUUCACCCGAGCCCCCUUUGUAGCUGUUCCCUUUAUCUCCAAAGUAGCCACCUCUUCUUAUUCAGUUUGUAUAAUGAAGUAAUAUUAGGUUUAGCUAUUUAUUAAUUAAGUUGCCCUAAUAAACUUCUAUUUGGGUUAAAUUAAUAUUAAGGCCCAAAUUUUAACCACAUAAUAUUAUCUAUCACUUAUUAAUAUUUAUUAGCCCACAUAAUUUAAAUGACUACUUUGACCCAAUUUAAAGACAAAAAAAAUUCAAACAAUAUAUUUAAAACACAAACAUAAAUACUUCUUUUUUUUUUCCGGGUAUUACAUUACCUCCCCCUUAAAAAGGAUUCCGUCCCCGGAAUCAAAAGAAUGGAAAGUACCUAAUUAUCAAAAAGAUGCGGAUACUCCGCUCGAAUAGACUCAUCAAUCUCCCAAGUAGCUCCGCGUUCCGGAUGAUUUUUUUUUUUCACAAAAUUUUAACAAAUGGGAUUGUCUUCCUCCUCAUAACCCGCUUUUGACAAUCUAAAAUUAUCUCAAGUUGCUUACUUCUUCAAAAUUGUAGAGGACGAAAAACUGAAGGAACCUGAUUUGGAUUCACUCAAUUCCGACAUCAGAUGAAUUAAUUAUAAUUUUUUCUAAUGGACUGCAGCACGUAUAAGUAUUCUACUCGAAAAUUCAACUAAUCAAAUUAGAAUAUGAUUAAAGUUACAACUUCACUCUUUAAAUAUAAAUAUAGCUCAAUAUAGGAGCUACCAAAACUCUAAUGGACUUCCCAUUUUUAAUUUAAUCGAUUAUUUAAUUAUCUACUAAAAUAAUUUAACUUUCCAAACAAAACAAAGAAAAAAAAUAGUCACUUACCUUUUCCAAUUUGAAUACAAUUGUAUAAAAUAAAGUUAAUUAAUACUUAAUUAUCUACUAAAAUAAUUUAACUUUCCAAACAAAACAAAGAAAAAAAAUAGUCACUUACCUUUUCCAAUUUGAAUACAAUUAUAUAAAAUAAAGUUAAUUAAUAUUUAAUUUUAAAAAAAAUAUGUGUUAUUACAUUUUUUACCCCUUAAAAAUAAUUCCGUCCACGGAAUUUAAAUAAGCUACAAAAAAAUUCUAGUUACGAUGUAGCGCCGCUAUUUGUAACGAUCAAUGCGGAUAAGCCUUCGAUCUACGUAAUUAUCAAUUUAUUUGUAAAAGAUUCGUCAGCUACUGUGCCAAGCCUUGGUAAGGUUCUUCGCGUUGCAUCAAAUUAGAUCACAUGAUCAAUCGUUAGUGCAGGCCGUCGCUAAUAUCUUUGAAUUUAAUUCUUGUAAACGUACCCUUCGGAACAUAAUUCGAAAUCAAAAAAACAAUUCUUCAUCUAAAUACGAUUCGAAUACCCAAAAUAUUUAAAAUUAUUUUUAAUUCGUAAAACGUUUAUGUUCCACCCAUGAUAAAGAUUUAACAAAUUAUUUUUAUUUAAUUUACAUAAAAUCAUACAAAACUCCAAGGAUAUCGGAUAAACCAAACAACUCUACAAACUAUAUCAACUUUUUGUAAAAUCCUCAAGAGCUUCAAAAUAUUCAAACCACAAUUCGAACUAGCUAGUUCUUAAAUAUUAUUACACCAAAGAAUAUACUACUAAGAUCUUUUUAUCAUCAUAUCAACUCUAAGUCAAAUAUUCUACUAUCUGCAUAAGCAAACUAGAAAUAUUCAAGAUCUCUCAAAAUUAAUUGAAUUUCAUCACUUACUAUCUAAUCAUAUAAUAAAUCAAUCAUCCCUUAUUGCAAACCUUAAUCCAAUAAAUUUCAAUGUCUCCCCAUACUAUCACAAAGAAAGUUCAUAGAACAUAACUCCAAUAUCCUACUAGAAAAUAGCCACAAAAUUGAUCAUUAACUCCAAAUGAUUAAUCUAAUUACCUCGAAUAUCAACAACUCAAAUUAUAAGAAAUCCUCUAUACUUAAUAAUUUUCACUUUAUCAUAGUAUCCCAUCAAUACACAAAUCUCAAAUUAUCCACAAGCUUAACAUAAAUCAAAACCUAACUAAAAUCAAAUCCUCAAUUCAACGAUCAUAAUGAUUGCCACAAAAAAAAAAAUCUAAAAGAAUAAUUUUCCAAAAUCAAAUACUCGUCGAUACAAAUACUCGCAUCAUAAUCACAUCUCAUAUAAAAUCACUUCUUAUCUGUACAAAGUAUAACUUUAUUCACCUCAAUGAUUAAAUCACAAUUAAAAUCAUUACUCAAUCACCUUAACAAAUUAUUCCACUUCCCUCAAAUCAACUACAAAUCGAAAAGAAAUCGACAGUUGGUUAAAAUAGAGACCAACCAAACAAAGAACAAAAUCGAAUCAAACUCCUACUUUUACCUAAUGGUUUACCAACAACUCACAGAAUAGGUUUUCUACAAGAAAGAACCUAAGCUCUGAUACCAUCUCUGUAACACCCCCUUCCCAAAAUAAUGCCACACAUGCAAUUAUUAAAAUAAUGUCACACAGGCAAGUCAAAUGAUGCCACACAGGCAACCAAAAUAAUGCCACACAGGCAAAUCACACAUUGGACCGCGAAUCCAAAUGUAUUCAAAUCGGAUAGGUGUGUUUGGCACAACAUCACAAAUCCGCAGAAUAGAAAACUAGGGUUAACCCAUACGCCUCCCAAAACAAAACACCAAAUGGCCCACUUCCUCCGGAGCCCAAAACGGAGACACCGUGGACUAAUCACACCGCCACGGAAAGUUUCAUGCCUCUCGUGCCAAGACGACAUGCCUGUGGUACCCCCACAGUUUGUUAUAGCUCAGGUAUACCCUACGGUAUAUUCUAACAAAAAUAUCAUGUCACAACACAUGCGACAUAUUACAAACAAAAGGGUUUUAUAUGUACAUGUUGAACCAAAUCAAAUUAUAGUCACAAGGCCGCUCUACAAUUAUCAAAAUAAAUAUUAGACAUGAUAACCUCAUUCAAAGAGUACAAGUACGAGUCCAAUGUGUCAACUCCAAAAUGAAAUAAAUAUAUCAAUUUCACAAAAAACAAUUAUGU